Ochotona princeps (American pika) is the source of this 928-nucleotide long non-coding RNA. RefSeq lists it as uncharacterized. The transcript is spliced from 4 exons. The record is from RefSeq and is a predicted model, not a curated record. NCBI's taxonomy places the organism in Eukaryota, Metazoa, Chordata, Mammalia, Lagomorpha, Ochotonidae.
UCUGCAGGCUCACACAGGACAGCUAGGGAUUUCACUCACUGGACAAGCACACACAUUCAUUCAUCAGAAACGGCAACCAGUGACAUGGCUGGAGCUUCACCUGCUCUCAAGAAAGUGACUGGUAUCUUCACAGAAGAAAUUCAACAGUGAAAUUUGUGAAAUCCUCCUACUCUAUGGAGCAACCCUCUGCCUUCAAGUUUUCUCUUUCAUACAGAGGCCGCGACCCCCGAGAGGCAGAAGGCAGUUGGGUGUUCAUUUCACUGAAGUAGUCGCACUUCCCCAACGGGAAUGGGCCUCCUGCCACAUGCUGAGGUAACGCUGUGGUCAAGAGCACUCCAGGCUGGCACACAGUCCUGCCAGGGAGAUAAACAGGAGCGCAGGAUGCAUCUGCUUUUAUCCAGGACCUGAGAGCGGGAUGCCAUGAGAAUAAGGCUAUUGAGUGGAACUUGUAGAGGGGCCAUAUAAUUCCCAGGUGACUUCAUCUCUCUAUAGAUCUUGGGCAGCCGUACAGCUCAAGAAAGAUUGUGGAGCUGACGGAAAUUUCACUUGGCUCUGGAGCCCACUCCACAAGGAAGGCUGGCCUGGAUUGCAUCAUCUAAGAGUACAGUUUGGGGUCUUGUCUGGGAAGGCUGCUGUCUUCCACAUUCCUGCCGGAUGGGAUCAGCUGCCCCGUGAGCAACUGUGGAGCCGUAGGCCACGUACUGUGGCUCUGGGGUUUGCAUGCUUCCUUUGCUGUCCAUGAAGAGCAGGUCACUGAUGGUUUCUGAAGCUAUGACCUUAAUUCCCCAGCGUAGGCGAUUCAGGACACACGGAACACAGAUCCAAGUCCAUGAGUAGUGGAGCUUUGCAAAGAGGGAACCAUUUCUGGGAGUAAGCUGUAAUUUGGGGGAAAAAAAUAACUGGACUGUUGAUCAGGGUUUAAAGAAAU